CCCCCCCGAAUUGUGGUCUAGAAAGGCGCCAUCGGCCGCGCGCGUCGCCCAAAUUCCCUUGGAACAGGGUAUCGGAGAAGGUGAGAAUCCUGUGCCGUGGCGCGUUGCGGCCUCACGAUGCGUCCUUGUCGAGUCGGGUUGCUUGGGAUUGCAGCUUGAAGUGGGUGGUAAAUUCCAUCUAAAGCUAAAUACUGGCGAGAGACCGAUAGCGAACAAGUACCGUGAGGGAAAGAUGCAAAGAACUUUGAAAAGAGA
Molecule: ribosomal RNA, 255 nt
Filed under: Ochrosphaera neapolitana
Lineage: Eukaryota; Haptophyta; Coccolithales; Hymenomonadaceae
Description: partial large subunit ribosomal RNA
Rfam family: Eukaryotic large subunit ribosomal RNA
Source: RNAcentral